AUUAUAAGGUAGCAAUAUUUUGUAGUCGGAGCGGCGCAAGGGUGCGUAACACGUGGGUAAUCUGCCAUGAAGUUUGGGAUAACUUGCUGAAAGGCGAGCUAAUACCGGAUGUGACAGUUGGAAGGCAUCUUCCGAUUUUCAAAGUUGGGGACCGUAAGGCCUGACGCUUCAUGAUGAGCCCGCGGCCUAUCAGCUAGUUGGUGAGGUAACGGCUCACCAAGGCUAUGACGGGUAGCUGGUCUGAGAGGACGACCAGCCACACUGGAACUGAGACACGGUCCAGACACCUACGGGUGGCAGCAGUCGAGAAUUUUUCACAAUGGGCGCAAGCCUGAUGGAGCGACGCCGCGUGGGGGAUGAAUGGCUUCGGCCCGUAAACCCCUGUCAUUUGCGAUCAAACCUUGUUAUUUAAAAGAUGACGAGCUGAUAGUAGCGAAAGAGGAAGGGACGGCUAACUCUGUGCCAGCAGCCGCGGUAAUACAGAGGUCCCAAGCGUUGUUCGGAUUCACUGGGCGUAAAGGGUGCGUAGGUGGUGAGGUAAGUCGGAUGUGAAAGCUCGGAGCUCAACUCCGAAAUGGCAUUGGAAACUACCUUGCUCGAGGGAUGGAGGGGGGACUGGAAUUCUCGGUGUAGCAGUGAAAUGCGUAGAUAUCGAGAGGAACACCAGUGGCGAAGGCGAGUCCCUGGACAUCUCCUGACACUGAGGCACGAAAGCUAGGGGAGCAAACAGGAUUAGAUACCCUGGUAGUCCUAACCGUAAACGGUGCAUGUUUGCUGUAAAAGGAAUC
RNAcentral lists this ribosomal RNA (788 nucleotides) under uncultured Verrucomicrobiota bacterium. Its description in RNAcentral is "bacterial SSU rRNA". It matches the Rfam family "Bacterial small subunit ribosomal RNA", at positions 68 to 833 of the family's 1533-position model. The record is from RNAcentral. Lineage: Bacteria; Pseudomonadati; Verrucomicrobiota.